This 509-nucleotide ribosomal RNA is filed under the name Staphylococcus aureus. Its description in RNAcentral is "partial 23S ribosomal RNA". It matches the Rfam family "Bacterial large subunit ribosomal RNA", at positions 2394 to 2904 of the family's 2925-position model. Lineage: Bacteria; Bacillati; Bacillota; Bacilli; Caryophanales; Staphylococcaceae. The record is from RNAcentral.
CAGGGUCGAAAGACGGACUUAGUGAUCCGGUGGUUCCGCAUGGAAGGGCCAUCGCUCAACGGAUAAAAGCUACCCCGGGGAUAACAGGCUUAUCUCCCCCAAGAGUUCACAUCGACGGGGAGGUUUGGCACCUCGAUGUCGGCUCAUCGCAUCCUGGGGCUGUAGUCGGUCCCAAGGGUUGGGCUGUUCGCCCAUUAAAGCGGUACGCGAGCUGGGUUCAGAACGUCGUGAGACAGUUCGGUCCCUAUCCGUCGUGGGCGUAGGAAAUUUGAGAGGAGCUGUCCUUAGUACGAGAGGACCGGGAUGGACAUACCUCUGGUGUACCAGUUGUCGUGCCAACGGCAUAGCUGGGUAGCUAUGUGUGGACGGGAUAAGUGCUGAAAGCAUCUAAGCAUGAAGCCCCCCUCAAGAUGAGAUUUCCCAACUUCGGUUAUAAGAUCCCUCAAAGAUGAUGAGGUUAAUAGGUUCGAGGUGGAAGCAUGGUGACAUGUGGAGCUGACGAAUACUAA